GACUCUUUUUAAUGGUUUAAUACCCAUCGGGAUCCUCUGUUUUUCUUGUAAUUAUACACACCUUUAAAAAUGUGGGCUAUGGACUAAUUGCUAGAACUGAAAGCAGAAAGGAGUGUUUUCAGAAUACGUAAAUAAAGCGUCGACGCAACAUCUGUAUUUUGAUCAAUUUAUUGCUGAUAUAUUACAAAUGGAGCGUAGAAAACAUAAAGGGCUUGCUGUUGUUGGGUUUUUAUUCUCUUUAACUGCAUUUGUUGCCCAUGGAGUAGCAUCUUAUUUGCCAUACUGGUAUGGCCAGUCUGAUGGUGAUAAUAGUGUAUAUGGUGGAUUAUGGCAACUUUGUUCCAAAAUUUCAGGAAAAGUAACGUGUUCAGACAUAACUUCUCCAUUUGAAGAUGAUAAGCCAUGGUAUGUGAGAACAUGCCAAGGUCUAGCGAUGGGCGCUUCACUCUUAACAUUUAUCGGCGUAAUACUACUUAUAGUAAAGCUGUGUAAAGGAAAAGAACCUGGCUGCACAAGUGCCUAUCCUGUCUCUCGUGUUUUAUUUUUUAUUGGAGGCCUAAUGAUAUUUGGUGUGACCGGAGUGUGGUCGGCAUAUCAGUAAGAUUUUAUUAAAGAAAACAAGUCGUUUGCUUACUGGAUCGAAUGGAGUGCGGGUGCUCUUUUCAUUGUUUCUGCAAUACUGCUUGCAAUACGAAAGUAUGCUCCUUCAGAUCCUUAUAGGAAUCCAACAGCUCAACCAAAUCCAAAUAUGACACCAACAGCUCAAAUACAUCUAAAUAUGACACCAGCAGCUCAACCAUAUCAAUAUAUGCCGCCAGCAGUUCAGGCAUAUCCUUAUAUUGCGAAUCAGGGUUUCGUGAGAUAUUAAGUUGCUUUAAAUUAAACACCUUUCCGUUAUAUAUUACCAUACUUGAUAACUUUUAACUCUGUUUUGAUUUGUACAAAAUAAUACGUUAUUAAAGAAUAUCUAUAUAAA
This is a long non-coding RNA of Mytilus californianus (California mussel), 976 nucleotides long. RefSeq lists it as uncharacterized. The transcript has 3 exons. The record is from RefSeq and is a predicted model, not a curated record. Lineage: Eukaryota; Metazoa; Mollusca; Bivalvia; Mytilida; Mytilidae.